RNAcentral lists this ribosomal RNA (320 nucleotides) under uncultured Prevotella sp. RNAcentral describes it as "partial 16S ribosomal RNA". The record is from RNAcentral. Lineage: Bacteria; Pseudomonadati; Bacteroidota; Bacteroidia; Bacteroidales; Prevotellaceae.
GGAGUUUGGACCGUGUCUCAGUUCCAAUGUGGGGGACCUUCCUCUCAGAACCCCUACUGAUCGUUGACUAGGUGGGCCGUUACCCCGCCUACUAUCUAAUCAGACGCAUCCCCAUCCCUUAGCGAUGAAUCUUUGGUUUGAUUUUGAUGUCAGCAUCAAACAACAUAGGGAAUUAAUCCGACUUUCGCCGGGCUGUGCCCUACUAAGGGGAAGGUUGGAUACGCGUUACUCACCCGUGCGCCGGUCGCCAUCAAAGUUUGCAAGCAAACUUCAUGCUGCCCCUCGACUUGCAUGUGUUAAGCCUGUAGCUAGCGUUCAUC